UGCUAUGUGGAAUUACUAAUUCAUUUUAUUUAUAUCAACAACUUGCGACUUGGUAAACCAACAGCAUAUUUAUGGCUUGCCAAACCAUGAAACGAUCUAUGCUACGGUCAUGCCAACAAUAGUGGUCUUACAUGUUAACUAUGGCCACGGUUGUACUUUGUUAAAAGUGACUUCUACAAUUAUAUCAUGUCACCACUUUCGUCAGAGGGUAUGCCGCAGUCAUCCACAAGGAGCGGUCCU
This 240-nucleotide long non-coding RNA is filed under the name Carica papaya (papaya). RNAcentral describes it as "long non-coding RNA (CPAP_LNC008998)". The record is from RNAcentral. Lineage: Eukaryota; Viridiplantae; Streptophyta; Magnoliopsida; Brassicales; Caricaceae.